GUCUCUCCACCGCCGGACCCAUGUCCUAGUGCUCUCUCUCUCCGGGCGCCUCUCUCCAACCAGCAGUAGGCAUGUGAGCAUCUUGGGAAGCGGCAAGCCACCCUCCCUGGACUGACCUCCCCCAUCUCCACCGUCCAGCUCUCGAAGACACGCAGCGGCAGCGGCAAUGGUCGAUGCGGCUGAGGUAACAUAGAGGAGCACUGCUGGUAACAUUGAGCCGACAAAGAGAAGUUGUAGAAUAUUUGCUGCAACCACUAGGAUUCUUGCUGCCAACGACUCAGCUUCCAGCAGCGGUGCAGCGAUCCCCCUCCCGUGCUUGUCGCUGCAUCCUCCACCAGUUG
Molecule: non-coding RNA, 341 nt
Organism: Triticum urartu
Lineage: Eukaryota; Viridiplantae; Streptophyta; Magnoliopsida; Poales; Poaceae
Source: RefSeq, a predicted model, not a curated record